This 358-nucleotide long non-coding RNA is filed under the name Malus domestica (apple). RNAcentral describes it as "long non-coding RNA (MDOM_LNC019546)". Lineage: Eukaryota; Viridiplantae; Streptophyta; Magnoliopsida; Rosales; Rosaceae. The record is from RNAcentral.
UUGGUGUGGAAACUUAGAGGUUCUCAAUUUUGGGAACUUGGAGAAUCUAUUCUUCCAUCCAAAUCCAUGGAUUUAAGAAGCAAGGAAUGAAGGCCCUCUCUUUGGGUGAUUAGCCUUUGCUUAUGCAAAGAGGAAUCUACAAAGGUAUAAAUUUCUCAACUCACUUUGAUUUGAGUUGAGUCUUGGUUCACCAAUCUACUAGGCUUUGAAUUUCAUGGGUAUUGUUUUGUUUUUGGGUGCAUGCUAGCAUGAUUCCGCCUUUAAUUGUUAAUUGCAUGCUUAUAGAUGUUGCUCAAAUGAACAUGUUUUCACAAAAUCUUCCUUCAAGUGGUAUCAGAGCCUAGGUCUAGUAGUUGGU